GACCAAGAACUUGUUAAUUGGCUGAGGGAACUUGGAGCUACUGACGAUGCAGUAAACCAGUUUGUGGAAGAAGAAUACACCCUGUAUAAUGUACUGCAUGAUAUCACCAAAGAUGAUCUGAAAUCACUCAGACUCAGGGGAGGAGAGCUCUGUCGGAUCUGGAAAGCCGUACAGGCCCGGAUUUGUGGAAAGACCACCUAGGCCCGGGCCUAGGGCGGCAGGAUUUUAGGGGGGCGGCAUGCUGCCCAACCACACCCAUAUUGGUUCAAAAACACUGGGGAUGCGCUGGAGAUACAAUAAUUUCCCAUGCACCAAUCCCCAUUGCUCCUGUCCCCCUGGAGGGGACAGGGGCGAUGAAUUGUAGUGGGCCUAGGGGCACCCACUAUGUAAAUCCGGCCCUGAAGCCGUAACCAAACACAGGAAAGGUAACAAUCAAGCCGGCGUCAACAAUUAAUGAAACCAAAUGCAUCGACUCGCCGUGAAUGUGAAAGGUUUCACGAGAAAGAAACAUUCCAACUUUUAAAUUAUUUAACUUUUGUACAUCUCUGUAUAGAAUCUCUUUUCUGUGAAAGUCUUUAUAUGUGUAGAUGUUUUUAAAGUUCUCUAAAGUUUUCUUUUCAUCAAUGUAUUGCACAGCUGUAAGCGCAGUCCUGAUACACAAUUCCACGGAUUAUUCAUGUACUAAUGCUUAGUUUUCAUUCCCAGCCUCUUUAAAAUAAUUCAU
This is a long non-coding RNA of Xenopus laevis (African clawed frog), 724 nucleotides long. RefSeq lists it as uncharacterized. NCBI's taxonomy places the organism in Eukaryota, Metazoa, Chordata, Amphibia, Anura, Pipidae. The transcript is spliced from 3 exons. The record is from RefSeq and is a predicted model, not a curated record.